UGGGGAAUCUUGGACAAUGGGGGCAACCCUGAUCCAGCGACGCCGCGUGGGUGAUGAAGGCCUUCGGGUUGUAAAGCCCUUUCACCGGGGACGAUGAUGACGGUACCCGGAGAAGAAGCACCGGCUAACUCCGUGCCAGCAGCCGCGGUAAGACGGAGGGUGCUAGCGUUGUUCGGAAUCACUGGGCGUAAAGGGCGCGUAGGCGGCGUCGCAAGUCGGCUGUGAAAGCCCGGGGCUCAACCUCGGAGGUGCAGCCGAGACUGCGGUGCUCGAGGUCGGAAGAGGAGGGUGGAAUACCCAGUGUAGAGGUGAAAUUCGUAGAUAUUGGGUGGAACACCGGUGGCGAAAGCGGCUCUCUGGUCCGAAUCUGACGCUGAGGCGCGAAAGCGUGGGGAGCAA
This 399-nucleotide ribosomal RNA is filed under the name uncultured bacterium. RNAcentral's name for it is "bacterial SSU rRNA". It matches the Rfam family "Bacterial small subunit ribosomal RNA", at positions 355 to 771 of the family's 1533-position model. The record is from RNAcentral.